This 539-nucleotide small RNA is filed under the name Pongo abelii (Sumatran orangutan). RNAcentral describes it as "processed transcript". Lineage: Eukaryota; Metazoa; Chordata; Mammalia; Primates; Hominidae. The record is from RNAcentral.
AGUGUUCUGAUCACGCCCUGGGUGCUCACUGAAAAUGCUUCAGGGGCUCCCUGCCAUCUAUUGGAAAAAGGCAGAAAUCCUUAGGCUGGUGUGGUAGGGUCCAAUCAGAAAAGCAAAACCCACCCGGGAUGUUUCCGCAGAGGGAACUUCGUGUAGGGCACUGGAAGACUGAAAGGGCAAAGAGAGACUGCUAGGACAGAGAGUGGCAGAAGCAGCUUCCAGCCCUGCAGCCAGAGGGACAGAGAAGGAAGGCAAGCUUGGAGGAGGGCCCGGGACUCUGAUGGGGAAGAAGGGCCGUUGCUGCCACCUCCCCGUGCAAGAUCCUCAAGUGUAACUCUGAGUUCUGGAGCGCCACGUCGGGCAGCCACGCACCAGCCUCAGACGACACCCCCGAGUUCUGCGCAGCCUUGCGCAGCUACGCCCUGUGCACGCGGCGGACGGCCCGCACCUGCCGGGGUGACCUGGCCUACCACUCGGCCGUCCAUGGCAUAGAGGACCUCAUGAGCCAGCACAACUGCUCCAAGGAUGGCCCCACCUCA